RNAcentral lists this non-coding RNA (26 nucleotides) under Bombyx mori (domestic silkworm). RNAcentral also lists the same sequence under 6 other names. The record is from RNAcentral. Lineage: Eukaryota; Metazoa; Arthropoda; Insecta; Lepidoptera; Bombycidae.
GCAUCGGUGGUUCAGUGGUAGAAUGC